Panicum virgatum (switchgrass) is the source of this 349-nucleotide long non-coding RNA. RefSeq lists it as uncharacterized. The transcript is spliced from 3 exons. The record is from RefSeq and is a predicted model, not a curated record. NCBI's taxonomy places the organism in Eukaryota, Viridiplantae, Streptophyta, Magnoliopsida, Poales, Poaceae.
GAACAAAUAUUUCCACACUGAAGGAGUAUAUUCAGGUGGUGGAUGAGAGGUUGGGUGACGUGUUCAUAGGCACGUAUGUGGGUCCAGCUGCUGUCCUAAAUCCGAGGUAUGCAUAUACGAUGGAUCCAACUCAACAAAUGUUUCGUGGUCUCAAGGAUACAUUUCAGCGCAUGACGGAUCUCCAGAGCGCCGUGCAUGCAUUGCAGGAGUUUGACGUGUUUCGACAGAAGGUUGGCGAGUAUGGCAGUGAAAUGGCAAUGCGGAUGGCGAUGGACCCAAAGACAUCCCCAUCGUCCUGGUGGAUGAUGUUCGGAUCAAGCACUCCAAAGCUGCAGUACCUUGCCAUGAG